CUCAGUUGGUAGAGCAGAGGACUGAAAAUCCUCG
Molecule: transfer RNA, 34 nt
Filed under: Amaranthus praetermissus
Lineage: Eukaryota; Viridiplantae; Streptophyta; Magnoliopsida; Caryophyllales; Amaranthaceae
Also listed under: 1 other name
Description: partial tRNA-Phe
Source: RNAcentral